RNA transcript from Bombus terrestris (buff-tailed bumblebee), 1643 nucleotides. It is a transcript of the gene named odorant receptor 30a, with no coding region annotated. The transcript has 4 exons. Lineage: Eukaryota; Metazoa; Arthropoda; Insecta; Hymenoptera; Apidae. The record is from RefSeq and is a predicted model, not a curated record.
CACCUGCAAUGAGAUUACCACAAAGAACGUAACGCAUAGAAAACUGUGUCGGGAGAAAGCAAUUGCCGAUCAUGAUUCGAAAAGAAAGGAUACAUCGAUUCACAAUCAUUCUAACUCUGCCUGUUAGCAUACUUUCACAAGUGAAAAAGUAACCUGUAUGUUAACAAGCAACGACGUUAGAAACAAAUUUCGUUUCUCACGACCGAGAACAAAAUAAAGUAUUAAACAUUUUACUAUUUUUUCCAUGUUGUAAGGUUAUUAUCACGAGUAUUUAACAUUAUCAUUUGACAUUUUUAUUGCUGUUCACGCGUAAGAAAGAAACGAUAACAAUAGCAUUUAAAAAAGUUUGAAUGCGUUGAAUAUGUAAAAGUCAAAGAUGGAACAUUCAGAAGGUGUAUUUUAUAAUUAAUUGAUAUUUUUCAAAUAAUUUUUGUUUAUUGUUAAUCUUGGCAAGAACAGUCAAUAUAUUCAGUUAUAUAUUAAUAUAUAUCUUGAUAAGGCUGCUGAUGAUUCUGCCGAGAUUCAGUAUUGUUAUUCGAUACGUAACGAACGGGACAGAUGCAGGAAAGCUCCUUCCAUUGCCAACUUAUUACUCUUACAAUGUCUUCAAAACUUUAUAUUUUGAAAUAAUGUACGUUGUUCAAUGUAUCAAUUUGUUGAUAGCAUCAUUUUGUUAUAUCGGGGUCGAUAACUUUUUUGGAGUAUUAAUCCUUCAUAUUUUCGACCAAUUAGAAAAUCUUCGCUUUCACCUUGCAAAUAUGAAGGAUUCGAGAUAUGGAUAUGAAACUUCUAAUCACGUUUUAGGAGCUACUAUAGAAGAUCACAUACGACUCAUCAGAUAUAUAUCCGCUGGGAAAGAGCGGUUUACCGUACUUCAAGUGGCCUACUUAUUCUGUAAUUUUGUAAAUACAUUUCUUCAAACGUCUCUUUAUUUCUUGGCAGAACAAAUGUUAUCCGAAGGAGUUCACAAUACUGCAUACGAAUGCGAGUGGGUAAGCCUGAAAUUCACGAAAGCGAAAAGCUUGAUUAUAAUCAUGGCAAGAUCAAAGAGACCGCUCCAUUUAACCACGGGAAAAUAAUUUCCUCUAACGAUGCUAAAGUUUUGUAAUAUAAGAAGCCUACCUUUCUUUCCUUUUCUUUUUCUUCUUCUGCCUUUGUCUUUUACCUAGCAUCGUUUCAGAUAUUAAAAAUAUCAUUUAGCUAUAUAUCCUUCCUACUGAUAAUGUUACAUUAAGACAUUACAAUUUAUGAACAUUCACCAGCCAAUCUAAUUGAGUUCUCCCUAGUUUACAUCACGAAAGAUACUUAAACGAGGCCCUUUCUAUGAAAUAGAUCAUAAAUUUUUGGAGAAAAGAUAAACAUAGAUAGAACAUUGUGUGCUUCCAAUCAUAAGUAUCAUUAUUUAUAAUAGAAGUAAAUGCAUAAAUUAACGUUAGAAAUUUUAAAUUCAUUAUUUUUGUCUAUAUAUACAUAUACUUCUCGUCGUUAUAUGAGCAGUAAAGAUACAAUAUACGUCAAUUUAAUCUAAUUUAUUAUAAUGAGGUAGAAUAUAUCGAAAUAAACAGAUUCUUCCGACUAUCCGAAUAAAAUAAAAAAAUACAUUUAGAAAAUAAUAAUAUUUCUAUGAAAUAUUAUCAAUUAUG